GCGAGGAUGGCGGAAUGGCAGACGCGACAGUUUGAGGGGCUGUUGGGCGAUGAGCCUGUGAGGGUUCAAAUCCCUCUCCUCGCACCA
RNAcentral lists this transfer RNA (87 nucleotides) under Candidatus Omnitrophica bacterium CG23_combo_of_CG06-09_8_20_14_all_40_11. RNAcentral's name for it is "tRNA-Leu". It matches the Rfam family "tRNA". From Rfam's summary of the family: Transfer RNA (tRNA) molecules are approximately 80 nucleotides in length. Their secondary structure includes four short double-helical elements and three loops (D, anti-codon, and T loops). Lineage: Bacteria; Pseudomonadati; Candidatus Omnitrophota. RNAcentral also lists the same sequence under 1 other name. The record is from RNAcentral.